RNAcentral lists this ribosomal RNA (465 nucleotides) under uncultured bacterium. RNAcentral's name for it is "partial 16S ribosomal RNA". It matches the Rfam family "Bacterial small subunit ribosomal RNA", at positions 28 to 507 of the family's 1533-position model. The record is from RNAcentral.
GAUGAACGCUGGCGGCGUGCUUAACACAUGCAAGUCGAACGGAAAGGCCCAAGCUUGCUUGUGUACUCGAGUGGCGAACGGGUGAGUAACACGUGUGAGAUCUGCCCUGCACUUCGGGAUAAUCCUUGGAAACUGGGGCUACUACCGGAAAUGACCACAUGGUGGGUGGGGUGGUGGAAAGUUUUGCGGUGUGGGAUGAGCUCGCGGCCUAUCAGCUUGUUGGUGGGGUAAUGGCAUACGAAGGCGUCGACGGGUAGCCGGCCGGAGAGGUGGUACGGCCACACUGGGACUGAGAUACGGCGCAGCCGCCUACGGGAGGCAGCAGUGGGGAAUAUAGCACAAUGGGAGCAAGCCUGAUGCAGCGACGCCGGGUGGGGGAUGACGGCCUCCGGGUUGUAACCUGCUUUCGCCAGGGAUGAAGCGCAUGUGACGGUACCUGGAGAAGAAGCACCGGCUAACUACGUG